RNAcentral lists this ribosomal RNA (377 nucleotides) under uncultured bacterium. RNAcentral's name for it is "bacterial SSU rRNA". It matches the Rfam family "Bacterial small subunit ribosomal RNA", at positions 521 to 896 of the family's 1533-position model. The record is from RNAcentral.
UAAUACAGAGGCCCCAAGCGUUACUGAGAAUCACUGGGUUUAAAGGGUGCGUAGGUGGUCCGUUAAGUCAGUUGUGAAAUCCCCGGGCUCAACCCGGGAACUGCUUCUGAUACUGGCGGACUUGAGGCCGGUAGGGGUCACUGGAACAGACGGUGGAGCGGUGAAAUGCGUAGAUAUCGUCUGGAACGCCGGUGGUGAAGACGGGUGACUUGGCCGGUUCUGACACUGAGGCACGAAAGCGUGGGGAGCGAACGGGAUUAGAUACCCCGGUAGUCCACGCCCUAAACGAUGCAGACUAGAUUGCAGCGGGUUACACCCCGUUGUGGUCGUAGAAAAAUUGUUAAGUCUGCCACCUGGGAAGUACGGUCGCAAGGCUA